CUGGCGGGUGGGCUGCUGGCGAGGGAGCACUUCCUAUGAGCUGAUAGGAAGUGCUCCCUCGCCAGCAGCCCGCCCGCCAG
Molecule: non-coding RNA, 80 nt
Organism: Pelobates cultripes (western spadefoot toad)
Lineage: Eukaryota; Metazoa; Chordata; Amphibia; Anura; Pelobatidae
Source: the annotation of a GenBank genome assembly